UUCCUGACCUCGGAUCAGACGUGAUUACCCGCUGAACUUAAGCAUAUCACUAAGCGGAGGAAAAGAAACUAACAAGGAUUCCCCCAGUAACUGCGAGUGAACAGGGAUAAGCCCAGCACCGAAGCCUGUGGCCAGUUGGUCACUAGGCAAUGUGGUGUUUAGGUCGUUCCGCAAAAGCGCUGCUCCACCCUAAGUCCAUCAAUGAGUACGGUAGUACGGACAUGGCCCAGAGAGGGUGAAAGGCCCGUGGGGGUGGAGAUCAGGCAGGCCAGCGCUUUUCUGGAUAGAC
This 289-nucleotide ribosomal RNA is filed under the name Collyriclum faba. Its description in RNAcentral is "partial 28S ribosomal RNA". It matches the Rfam family "Eukaryotic large subunit ribosomal RNA", at positions 1 to 266 of the family's 3401-position model. The record is from RNAcentral. Lineage: Eukaryota; Metazoa; Platyhelminthes; Trematoda; Plagiorchiida; Collyriclidae.